RNAcentral lists this non-coding RNA (753 nucleotides) under Pongo abelii (Sumatran orangutan). Lineage: Eukaryota; Metazoa; Chordata; Mammalia; Primates; Hominidae. The record is from RNAcentral.
GAGCUCUGUGGGCCCCAGGAGCCCCGGGAAAACCUGGGGGAGAAUGGGCAUCCCACCCCAGCACUUUCUAGGAAGAAGGGCAACAUUUUGAAGGGCUGGAAGUAGAGAAAGAAGGUUGCGGGUAGAAGACUCCAUACUUUCUGUGACGCCUAUUCCUUAGGUAGGAACUUAGGAACCUCAGCCAGAGGCGUGGCUUGCCUGGGCCUCUGGGUGCAGCUGCACAGACUCAAGCAGCCUGAAGGAAAGGUGACUGACAGUUAAUGAUCUGAAAAGAACUUGUCUCAACUCAACGUCAUUCCUGGCAUUAUCGAACAAAGCAAUAAACCUCACAGAAUGGAAGCUACAGUGUCCAGGGCCAGCUCUGCUAAGGUAACCAAAGACAGAGAAGGAGGCAAAAGUGACAGAAGAAACUCAUGGGAAACCAACAGAAAUAUAAUGGCUUUGGCAGAAAUGCAAUUAUCAAUUGGGAGCUUGUGAUGAAUGUUUUCUCAGUAUCCUAUGCUGAAAACAGGUAGAUACUAAUCCCUCCUUCAAGGGAGGGCUGUUGAGUAUUGAAUAAGAUAAAAACAUGGAAGCAAUCAGCACAAUGCUGGAAUCAAGCCUAUCUGUAAUCACAGGGCUAUUUGAAAAAGAGAAGAAAAGGUGUCUUGAAAUUAAACCAACAUGUUUCAAUUAUUUGCUCCUAAGAACAACAGAAGUUUCAACAUUCUGCCAACACAGUAACUCCUGGGAGAUUGGCACAGAAGAAGGCAC